GAUGAACGCUAGCGAUAGGCUUAACACAUGCAAGUCGAGGGGCAGCACAAGGUAGCUUGCUAUCUGGGUGGCGACCGGCGCACGGGUGCGUAACGCGUAUGCAACUUGCCCUAUACAGGAGGAUAACCCGUCGAAAGACGGACUAAUACUGCGUAUGCUCACAACUUGGCAUCAAGUGGUGAGGAAAGAAAUUCGGUAUAGGAUAGGCAUGCGUCCCAUUAGCUUGUUGGUGAGGUAACGGCUCACCAAGGCAACGAUGGGUAGGGGAACUGAGAGGUUUAUCCCCCACACUGGUACUGAGACACGGACCAGACUCCUACGGGAGGCAGCAGUGAGGAAUAUUGGUCAAUGGGCGCGAGCCUGAACCAGCCAAGUCGCGUGAAGGAUGACUGUCUUAUGGAUUGUAAACUUCUUUUAGACGGGAAUAACAAGAGUCACGGGUGACUCCCUGCAUGUACCGGAUGAAUAAGCAUCGGCUAACUCCGUG
Molecule: ribosomal RNA, 487 nt
Filed under: uncultured bacterium
Lineage: Bacteria
Description: partial 16S ribosomal RNA
Rfam family: Bacterial small subunit ribosomal RNA
Source: RNAcentral